RNAcentral lists this ribosomal RNA (253 nucleotides) under uncultured bacterium. Its description in RNAcentral is "partial 16S ribosomal RNA". It matches the Rfam family "Bacterial small subunit ribosomal RNA", at positions 524 to 776 of the family's 1533-position model. The record is from RNAcentral.
UACGUAGGGUGCGAGCGUUGUCCGGAAUUACUGGGCGUAAAGAGCUCGUAGGUGGUUUGUCGCGUUGUUCGUGAAAACUCACAGCUUAACUGUGGGCGUGCGGGCGAUACGGGCAGACUGGAGUACUGCAGGGGAGACUGGAAUUCCUGGUGUAGCGGUGGAAUGCGCAGAUAUCAGGAGGAACACCGGUGGCGAAGGCGGGUCUCUGGGCCAUUACUGACACUGAGAAGCGAAAGCAUGGGGAGCGAACAGG